UACGUAGGUCCCGAGCGUUGUCCGGAUUUAUUGGGCGUAAAGAGCUCGUAGGCGGUAGUUCAAGUCAGGUGUGAAAUCCGACGGCUUAACCGGAGGACUGCACCUGAUACUGGGCUGCUAGAGGUAAGGAGAGGAAGGUGGAAUUCCCGGUGUAGCGGUGAAAUGCGUAGAUAUCGGCAGGAACACCAGCGGCGAAGGCGGUUCUCUGGUUGACUUCUGACGCUGAGGCACGAAAGCUAGGGGAGCAAACAGG
This 253-nucleotide ribosomal RNA is filed under the name uncultured microorganism. RNAcentral's name for it is "partial 16S ribosomal RNA". It matches the Rfam family "Bacterial small subunit ribosomal RNA", at positions 524 to 776 of the family's 1533-position model. The record is from RNAcentral.